RNAcentral lists this ribosomal RNA (565 nucleotides) under uncultured bacterium. Its description in RNAcentral is "partial 16S ribosomal RNA". It matches the Rfam family "Bacterial small subunit ribosomal RNA", at positions 355 to 914 of the family's 1533-position model. The record is from RNAcentral.
UGGGGAAUUUUGGACAAUGGGCGAAAGCCUGAUCCAGCAAUGCCGCGUGUGUGAAGAAGGCCUUCGGGUUGUAAAGCACUUUUGUCCGGAAAGAAAUCCUUGGCUCUAAUACAGUCGGGGGAUGACGGUACCGGAAGAAUAAGCACCGGCUAACUACGUGCCAGCAGCCGCGGUAAUACGUAGGGUGCAAGCGUUAAUCGGAAUUACUGGGCGUAAAGCGUGCGCAGGCGGUUUGCUAAGACCGAUGUGAAAUCCCCGGGCUCAACCUGGGAACUGCAUUGGUGACUGGCAGGCUAGAGUAUGGCAGAGGGGGGUAGAAUUCCACGUGUAGCAGUGAAAUGCGUAGAGAUGUGGAGGAAUACCGAUGGCGAAGGCAGCCCCCUGGGCCAAUACUGACGCUCGUGCACGAAAGCGUGGGGAGCAAACAGGAUUAGAUACCCUGGUAGUCCACGCCCUAAACGAUGUCAACUAGUUGUUGGGGAUUCAUUCCUUAGUAACGUAGCUAACGCGUGAAGUUGACCGCCUGGGGAGUACGGUCGCAAGAUUAAAACUCAAAGGAAUUGAC